GUCGCGAAUGGCGCCUUGGCGGUUGGCGCGCUUAGAUGAUUACCUUACAUUUUUUUCACCAUUCAAGUUUGGGUAAAGAACGGCGAAAGUAUGUUUCAAGAAGAUCUUUGAAAUGCCUUUCAAGCUAAAUUGAAGAAAAUCACGGUAAAACUUUUCACAUGCUUCAAGAUUACACCAUGACGGACAGUGUGGCUGCUACACAUAUGAUUCAGUUUAUGCUAUUGAUCCUGACAGUCCCUGACAAUCAGUUAUUGGCAUAUCCUGUGACACCCAUGAUAUCCAGUGACUAUCAAUGUGCUCUCGAGACAAGUGGCUGUUCCGUUUAAGAAUAUCCUGGGUGAUAGGCUACUCUUGUUCAUCACCUUGCAUUUGAAUCACCAGUGUACAAUCAAGUACUGUCAGCUCUAGUUAGUCAAACCUGUCAAGAUGAAGCUUGUAUAGUGAAACAUUGGAACUGACAUAACUAUUCUGAAUCAAUGACAUACCUAAUCAGUGUGAUAAAUAGUGUCAACAUUCCUGCAGCUGGUAUGAGGAGUUUGAGCAAGGCUUAUCUAGACAUGGCCAUGUCCUGUAUGAUGUCAACUCUUCAAGCAUCUAGCUGAAUCACCCUUCCUAAAGUCCACUUUCGUACGAUAGAGGGCAUUACUUUUCGCGCUCACGGAUGCAUUCUGAGUCACCAUUCCAUUGUAGGCCUGUUUUGUCAAGACGUAUUAUGUUUUGUUAUCAUUUGUCUAAUUUUCUUUAAGAAAAUCUAUCCAUUGUCAAUUCGCAGAGAACACCACGUGCACUAUCUUUCAUUCAUAUUUGCUAUUUUUGAAAUGUUUUACUUAUUGGAGAUGGUUGCUAGUAGUCAAGAUUGUUUUGUUUUUUUGUUUUUUCAACUGAAGUCUCAUGUUUGAACUUUUGGUGGAAGAAGUUUCAAGUUGAAUGAUAGAGGGCAGUACUUUUGCGCUCGCGGAUGCAUUGAAUCCUCUUUAUUUUGCUUAUUAUAGGCCUCUUUGUCAAGACAUCUAAUUCUCGUUUGUUUAAUUUGCAUAAAUGAAUCUAUCCGUUGUCCGUUUA
Daphnia magna is the source of this 1062-nucleotide long non-coding RNA. RefSeq lists it as uncharacterized. NCBI's taxonomy places the organism in Eukaryota, Metazoa, Arthropoda, Branchiopoda, Diplostraca, Daphniidae. The transcript has 3 exons. The record is from RefSeq and is a predicted model, not a curated record.